RNAcentral lists this microRNA precursor (125 nucleotides) under Brassica napus (rape). RNAcentral's name for it is "MIR9563 microRNA precursor family". It matches the Rfam family "MIR9563 microRNA precursor family". The record is from Rfam by way of RNAcentral. Lineage: Eukaryota; Viridiplantae; Streptophyta; Magnoliopsida; Brassicales; Brassicaceae.
GAAAGUUAAGAAACUGUUUCUUAAUUUUUAACUAAAAAUGCUAAGAACCAGUUCUUAAAGUCCUUAUUUAAGAACCGGCUCUUAGUUUUUUUAGUUAAAACUUAAGAAACAGUUUCUUAACUUCC